GCUUUGGCAAAACAUAUACUAAAACUGGAAUGACACAAAGAAGAUUAGCAUGGCGUCUGCGCAAGGAUGAGUCUGUUAAAAAAAAUUCUUAACCUUUUGAU
Molecule: small nuclear RNA, 101 nt
Filed under: Mandrillus leucophaeus (drill)
Lineage: Eukaryota; Metazoa; Chordata; Mammalia; Primates; Cercopithecidae
Source: RNAcentral